CUGGGUUUGCAGAUACAAAACCACUUUUUACACAAAACCCUAACUUCUUCAUCUUCUUUUCCACCUCCUUCGCCACCACCAACUCUUGUUUCACCACCAUCUGCUUCUGACGCUUUGGAUCCCCGAAAGAUACUACUGAUAACGGAAUGAAGAUUGAGCUAUUCGUGGUUGUUUUUGGAAUUAUGUGAGAUUGAAGUAGAAGCUAUUCAGGAUGUCCUAGGUUUUACUCUGGUGUUGUUUUAAUGAUCAAAUAACAUCGGACUUGGGUUAUAAUGGAAGUUCAAGUGAAGAUGAACUAUUGAAGUGUGCAGAGGUUGAGCAUUUUACAAAAUAUGAUCAACUUCAUUAUUUAGAAGUCAUGUCACAACACCAAGACGAUGAGACCAGAAUGGAAUGCUGACUGCAGAGUAGUAAUACAGUAAUGAAAGAAUCCAAAUCCUGAAGAAGAUGUUUAUGCAUGGCUUGGAUAUAGUUUCAAAAGUUUCUUUUCGACUUCAAAAGGUGAAAUCACUAAUGCAAAAUGAAAAACUGGGGAAAGCUUUCAGGCAUGUGGUUAGAUAAAAUUUAAACUCAUAGACGAAUUCGGUAAACUUCCUAAAUUCUAGAUCCCAAUAUAUCCCACUUUAUAAAGUCGCUUCUUUGAAUUGUCUUCCAUAGUUGGAUUAAGAAGUUAAUUGGCUUACAAAAACGAUUGUCUUUGUCUAUAAUAUGACACAUAGAGAUAUUUUAUAAAUUACAGUAUACGUCUACGAGAAAUGGAUGUUUGCUAAUUGUUCUUUCUCCAAUUUAGAGAGAACUUACAGUAAUAUUUGAUUGAGAACAAAGUCUAAGAUAGUUUGUUGUUUCUAACUUUCUACAUUUUACUUAGCAAUUGGGUUGUCACACGACUUCACAUGGAUAACAUGUAUUCAUAUUGAUUUGUGCUCUCAUGAUAUUGUUGCGGUUGGAGAUUAGUUCUUAUAUUAUUUUUUAACAUAUAUAUGGACGGACAUGAUUUAGCCAUGGAAGCAUGUGAUGUUGCAUUAGCAGUAGAACAACUCUAGAAUAUUUGGUGUAUAACUCCAAAUUUAUCUUUUAAUAUCACCCAUGUCACGUAAAAGUGUGUAUACUCAUACUAAUGCUUCUUAAGAACAGAACCUAUAUAUAAAUAAAGGAAACACUAGGAGUUACUGUUGCUUCCAACGGAAGCUUGCAGCUGAUAAGUGUCUAUAGUGGAAAAGAUGCCAGAAUUACAAGAAUGUAUCGAUGCCGAUUAAAUGGCUUCAGAUACUCUCAAUUCUCAAUACGGCUACAAUGAGUUACUGAUAAGUGUCUUGAUCCAUAAAUAAGGUAAGUGUCCUCUUUUAUAUUUUCCUGUGGUUGAAUAUGCAAGAUUACACUAAAUUCUAAUAUUGAAUUUUAGCACAAGAUAAAUUUCAAAAUGGAUCUCAUGCCAAGUAAAUUUUCAGUUUAAUUCAAGUUGAUUUUUUUUUUCCAUUUGUUUUAUGUUACUAUGAAAAUUUUAUUUUUUUGGUGCUUGAAUCGUAUGAUAAUUUACUGGAAUUUUCCCAUUUUUGUUUAGGUAGUUCUCUAAUUUGUCGAAUUUAUGGUAGUUGUUGUGUUUUGUUUUAGUUCCAUAAAAUGGAGAUCAAAAUAGGGUUUAGGAAGAACAGAAAGACUCAGUUAAAGUAAAGUUGGAUUAUAUAGUAUUGCAUUGGGCCUUUCUACAGCCCUGCUCUGUUGAGUCUCGCAUAAACAGAUUCCACUUGCUUUCAGACAUCUUCAAAGUUUGUAACACACAAAAUAUUAGUAUGAUAUGGUUUUGGUUUUGUAAAACAGGUGUCUUAUGAGAUGAUUUUAAACUUCUCUUCUUUGAUGUCUUUUCAACAGUUUUCAUCUACGCUAGAAGAUCUCACCAACAUUAGAUAAACACCGACAAUUCACCUCAGGAUCUGUUAUGGUAAAAGCUUCAUGAGGUCAGACUUCUUCAAAUUGUAGCCUAACUCAUUUUAGACCUUUUUAUGGUUCAUUGGGUAGCAUGGCGAAAAAAUACCCCACACCCUGGAAAUUCUCAUUUAAUGUCAGUAGAUGAAAAGCUCUUGGAAAUGGUUCCAAGACGUCUUCAUACUGUUCUGUAAGGGGAAUAAAGAUUCUAUCGGAUCAGGGUAUACUGGUAUAGGAUGGAAGCAAAUGAAGCAAAUAAAAUAUAUGACUUUCCGUAGGUUCCAACAGCUGACUCAAUGAAGAUGGACGAUAACAUUUACUACCAGAAUACAGACCUCAUUAUACUAUACCAUUGGAACCUCAUGCUAUGCUGAUAACGACAAAUACAUGCUACUCCUCUUUAUGUAUGCCAUUGUGGAUUGUCGUCGAGAAUCACGGAUUAAGGGGAAGUGAUGCUUCACACGGUUAAUAGAACUAUAUGCAUUUUCACAUUCAAAAAUGUAAGAAAAAAAAAGAAAAGAAAGAAACAAAGAAAAAAAUCUAAUUAUGGGUUUAUCCUUCAAUUUUUUGUUGUUUAUGCAACUAGAUUAAUAGCGGGAUUGCUGAAUACAUUAGCAUUUCAAUUUUUUGCA
Papaver somniferum (opium poppy) is the source of this 2555-nucleotide long non-coding RNA. RefSeq lists it as uncharacterized. Lineage: Eukaryota; Viridiplantae; Streptophyta; Magnoliopsida; Ranunculales; Papaveraceae. The transcript is spliced from 6 exons. The record is from RefSeq and is a predicted model, not a curated record.